GCAGUGCGGCUUUGUGUCUUUAACCCUCAGUAGUGAGUUCUCCACAAUGAGAAGAAGGAGCUUCCAGAGUGAGGCAUUCCUUCCUCCAGGUUGAACAUAGUCACCUGAAGGCAGUAUGCAGUGGUGGUGAAGAGCUCUGGCUCUGGAGUCGGACAGGCCUGCAUCCAGAUCCCAGCUCUACCACUUGCCAGGCUAAGCCUCAGUUUCCUCUCCUGUAAAUGGAUGUCAGGGAAUCCCUAUCUUGGGAUAGUUGUGAAAAUUCAAUGAGAUCAUGCACGAAAAUCUCAGCACUGGACCUGGUGCUGGUGUCUGCUCAAUGCGUGGUAAUUAAAAGAGAAAAGGGUGAUAUAUUUAGAUGUUAAAACCCCACUUAGACUAGGCUAAGUUUCCCACUUCUGCCCUGGACCCCACUGCAGCCCCUCCAUGAUGGACAGGGACUGGUGAGCCUGUGACCCCUUCAGCUCUCGGGUCUGCAUCUGAUCAUACCUCAGCCAUGGCCAUGUGAGUCGUCUCCAUGCAUGCAGCAGGUGCUUAAUACAUGCUUGUGAAGUUAACUGACAAAAAUAGCUACUGUUUCUCAGACAUUUCCUGACAUUUAUAUAGUGCCCCCACAGUUUACAGAGCACCCUGUAAGUUCAUCUAUGGAGCAAAAUCUUUUUUUGUUUGUUUUUUUUUGAGACAGAGUUUCGCUCUUGUUGCCCAGGCUGGAGUGCAAUGGCACCACCUCGGCUCACCGAAACCUCCGUCUCCUGGCUGAGGCAGGAGGAUGGUACGAACCCAGGAUGUGGAGCUUGCAGUGAGCCGAGAUCACGCCACUGCACUGCAGCCUGGGUAACAGAGUUAGACUCCAUCUCAAAAAAAAAAAAAAAAAAUUAGCCUGGCAUGGUGGUGGGCGCCUGUAACCCUAGCUACUUGGGAGGCUGAGGCAGGAGAAUCGCUUGAAACCCGGAAGGCAGAGGUUGCAGUGAGCUGAGCGCUCACGUCACUGCACUCCAGCCUGGGAGACAGAGCGAGACUCUGUCUCAAAUAAAUAAAUACGUAAGUAAGGGCAGGCAGCGAGGCUGCAGGGUUGGGGAGAGGGGUUAGAGUUGUUAGAAUCCUUUGUGGGCUCUUCUAUUUGCACGCCUCCAGAGAGGAGCAAGCUUUGUUUGCAGGUCCGAGUAUCAAGUCAAACCCCCUUCCUUAGGUUCCCAUUAAUGGCCACAAUGUAUGGCGCACUUCUAUGUGCCAGGCCCUGUGCAAAGCGCUUUAGGUGCAUGAUUUCAUUAA
This 1269-nucleotide long non-coding RNA is filed under the name Macaca mulatta (Rhesus monkey). Its description in RNAcentral is "lncRNA (ENSMMUG00000057202.1)". Lineage: Eukaryota; Metazoa; Chordata; Mammalia; Primates; Cercopithecidae. The record is from RNAcentral.